AGAUCUGUCUCCUCCCACUCCACUAUGACCUGGAAACAGUCUCAAGUGUGGCAACUUUUAGUUUUGCAUGCCUGUGGAUUUCAACGCGUUUCCCUUUUUUCCUUCUCAUCCAACUCGUAACCGCCGUGUGUUGUUUUUAUUGUCUUUCUUUUUAAAUCCUUGUCUUCGGGGACCAGUUCCUGAGAUGGUUAAAGAGAAGCCCGGUCGAGCGGUGUCACGCUUUCAGCAGCCGUGGAAACCUUUAGAAGGAAACAAAUGAAUCAAACAUUGCAGUUGUCCUAAAAGAAGAGAGCGAAGGCGCACCGAUUUCUUUUUUGCGAGUAAAUGAAAGAUCUUCCUUCCAUCCAGCGAGGCUGCAGACACAGCUCCCCUAUUCUGCUGUAAUCCUCUCAGCGUCAGCAGCGGCAGCAGCAUUGUGACCCACAAUGAAGACAUUCCAGAUCAGGCAAAACAAGCCAAUGUCCGCACAACAACAACAUCACUUUCAUGUGGUUGUGGGCUCCUUCAUCAAGGCCAGCUGCAGUGGCCGCAAAGGCAGUCAGUCAGGCAGGCAGAGGCGAGGGCGACGUGGACUGCCUGCACUCGGGCUCCAAAAUACACAACACAAGUAGAUCCUCAACACAAGGAAGUGAUCUCUCUUUCCCUGUUUGUUGUAGCACGAGUGCUCGUUUCUGACAAUAUCCUCUGUGCUGCUUCCUUCCCUUCCCCGACAAAUGGAAAAAAAAAAAA
Larimichthys crocea (large yellow croaker) is the source of this 729-nucleotide long non-coding RNA. RefSeq lists it as uncharacterized. The transcript has 2 exons. The record is from RefSeq and is a predicted model, not a curated record. Lineage: Eukaryota; Metazoa; Chordata; Actinopteri; Sciaenidae.